Molecule: small nuclear RNA, 24 nt
Filed under: Arabidopsis thaliana (thale cress)
Lineage: Eukaryota; Viridiplantae; Streptophyta; Magnoliopsida; Brassicales; Brassicaceae
Description: snRNA_15225
Source: RNAcentral
GCUGAAGCAGUACGUUGUUCGCGU